Molecule: non-coding RNA, 676 nt
Organism: Arachis ipaensis
Lineage: Eukaryota; Viridiplantae; Streptophyta; Magnoliopsida; Fabales; Fabaceae
Source: RefSeq, a predicted model, not a curated record
UAGAACCAUGUUAAGGAAGAUUUUAAGGCUCUAUAAAAUCUUGUUCAUCAAAAACUUGUUAUCGCAUGACAUAAAAAGUAAGAGACUUAUGGCUAGGAAUAAUGUAAAACAUGUUACUGCAAUGUUAAUAAUUGGAGUGGUCAUUUGUUCAGCGAUUGCUGAAAUCCAUACAAGUCAAGAAUGGCCUUGGACUCCAGUUUAUUAUGUUGCAUCUACAUUACAGGAUUGUCUUCUGCAAUGUCGAAUACAUUAUCAUUUUGAUGAGAGAAAUUUCCAUCAAUGCAUUCUUAACUGCUAUGCCACGGUUGUCAAGUAAUAUAGUAAUGGCCUGUUACAUUGAAAUUCAAGUAUAUCUUACAAUAAAUUGAAGACGAUUCGAGCUCUUUGAUUAUAUUGGGAAGUGAUUCAAGCUACUGAUUUCUGGUGUUUCAUGAUUUUGUUUUUGAUGUUUACUUCGCUGUCCUAUGGUUUACUUAUCCUUGAAUUUCAAUGGCUUAAAAUAUUAUGCUAUAAAAUAAUGGCCACUAAUUUUAUCAUAUCCCAUCCUAGUUGAAAUUUAAACAAAUAUGCUAUUGAUAUAUGAAGAAACUGUUCACUGUUCAGGACUCUAAUUAAACGAGUGUGAAACUUCAGUGUUUAUACUUUUUGCUUAUAAAAUACACUACAUAUUCAACCA